UACGGAGGAUCCGAGCGUUAUCCGGAUUUAUUGGGUUUAAAGGGUGCGUAGGCGGUUUGAUAAGUUAGAGGUGAAAUGUCGGGGCUCAACCCCGAAACUGCCUCUAAUACUGUUGGACUAGAGAAUAGUUGCGGUAGGCGGAAUGUAUGGUGUAGCGGUGAAAUGCUUAGAGAUCAUACAGAACGCCGAUUGCGAAGGCAGCUUACCAAACUAUAUCUGACGUUGGGGCACGAAAGCGUGGGUAGCAAACAGG
Molecule: ribosomal RNA, 253 nt
Filed under: uncultured bacterium
Lineage: Bacteria
Description: partial 16S ribosomal RNA
Rfam family: Bacterial small subunit ribosomal RNA
Source: RNAcentral